GUUGCCUGUGAUACAAUCUCAUUGGUGUAAUUUUGUAAGAUAGUUAUGUACUAUAAAGCUAAAAAUAUUAUAUUUAUAUAUCAACUAUUAAUCAUAGGUGAACAAUAUUUUUGAUAUACAAUUGAAAUUGGGAAGGGCAAUUGUAAGACAUAGAUGCCCUGCCUUCAAAUAUUUAUGUUACAAAAGGCUUUAAGAAUCCAGUAUUGCUC
RNAcentral lists this long non-coding RNA (209 nucleotides) under Mytilus galloprovincialis (Mediterranean mussel). Lineage: Eukaryota; Metazoa; Mollusca; Bivalvia; Mytilida; Mytilidae. The record is from RNAcentral.